UCUCGCGUUGUGUUUUGAUCGUUCGAAACUCAUUGCCAGAACGAAUGCAAAUUUCAUUUGGGAAGGAUCGGUGCCGGAAGAUGCAGUGAAAAUUAUAAAAUGUUUAUAGAAAAGUGAUUAAGUAAAUCGUGAAAGAUGUCAACGCAGGCGUAAAUGCAGUUUGUUUUGUUACUUGAUCUACGGCAAUUUCAUUACCAAAGCACCUGAUAACCGAUCAAAGAAGGUGAAUCGGGCUUACAGAGUCGCCGUUUAACUUCAAAUAUCUUCGUGAUUGGAAAACGCAUCAAACAGCAAGUGUUUCUCUUCCAACAGCACGCGCCAUCGUUGGAGCAAGCAGCCAACGUUUCAUUCGUCUAGCACGCACCAUCAAGAAUUGAAAUAUUCCCG
Molecule: long non-coding RNA, 387 nt
Organism: Anopheles arabiensis
Lineage: Eukaryota; Metazoa; Arthropoda; Insecta; Diptera; Culicidae
Exons: 3
Source: RefSeq, a predicted model, not a curated record